RNAcentral lists this long non-coding RNA (1803 nucleotides) under Panicum hallii. RNAcentral's name for it is "long non-coding RNA (PHAL_LNC000560)". The record is from RNAcentral. Lineage: Eukaryota; Viridiplantae; Streptophyta; Magnoliopsida; Poales; Poaceae.
UUAGUUCGGCAGUUAAUAUCCACCACUGCGCUAUUCAAGUGUAUUUGCCUAACUCAACACUCGUACUAUUUUUGAGCAAAUAACUGCAAUCCCUUCCCGCGUGAUGGUUCCUGUUCCCACGCACCUUCCCGAGAUGGUUGCUAUCCCCCCGAGACUCGGCGCUGCCUGAACUUCCUAGUGACGACAUGAUCGGUGGCUAUUCCCAAGAGGGGUCUUCAAGAACUCUUCGUCGAUGUCAUCGCCAGUUCCCACACCAGUUCGGAGAGGGGAUUUCAAGAGUUCCUGCUCUCAUCGUCCUCACCAUUUCCGAAAAGAGAGGUUUUUUUUUCAAGAACUCCAACUGUAGCCCCGCUCGCCCCCCUCCUCUUCGAUCACCGCAUGUCGCACUGCUACGCCUUUCCAGCGCUCCGGCUCAUCGCCGUCCAUGCGUCGUAGCUCCAUGCACGCUAGUGCGUGAGCCCUCGGGUGGCCUCGCCGCGCUUCGUGUUGCGUGAUGUCAUCUUCCGUGGUCUUGUGAUCAGACCCCUACCAGUCCUCGACGAUAAUCUCACCUACGCUGCCACGGGCGGGCACAAUGUGGCAACCUAUGUGGCCGUCAUCCUCCUCUACUUGGCCAAUGGCAGCGCCGGCGUCGACAACGCUGCUAGGUAGUACAUGAGAUAGGCCAUGGGCCUGAAAGAAUCGGGGCAAAGUUGGGCAGCAACGGCACAACGCUGAGCAACAAGGGGUGUUUGUUGUGUCGUAGAGGAUCGCGGAUAUGAUCUGGACUGUGUGGUGGCGCUGGCCCUGGAAGCAGGUGGUGCUGACACCGGUGCGCGGCGAUCAUCCCUGCGUAGGUGGGAAUUGUGGCGUUCAUCUACAAUGUGGAAACAUUGAUGCAGAGUGUUUUGCGGCGAGGACUGCCAGAUUCACAGUAAAAUCGAGCUGUUCUUAAAGAGAAUUAAUGGAGAGUGAAUUAUUAGUGUAACUUUUGCUUUUUUGUUGCUUUUACUUGAUGAGCUCUAGGACUGGUUGGCGGACCUUGUAGCCAAUAUUGCCAAUGUAAAUAUAUAUUUGAUUAAUGAAGAUCUUAUGUUACCCCUAAAUAAACAACAUGUCUACAUGGCAGCCAGUGUGCUGACUGGGACCCGAAGAUCCACGUGUCAGGGUUGUGGGUCAAAUAUGUUAAUAUGGGGCCCACUAGAGAAGUGGGACCCUGCUAUCCACGUGUACGAGUGCGGGCUAGCAGGCCUUCAUGGCUAACACAUGUUAAUGCGGGUCCCACUGGGUGGGUCCUGAUAGUCCACGUGUAUGUGCAGUGGGUACGAUAGGUAGUCGUACAACCAUGUGUUGCUUGCGCGGUCCAGCGUGUCCACAUCGUGGCCACGUGUCAUGGUGGAGCCCACAGAUAAUAAGGCCUCGGCCUGUUUCAAAUGCAGGCCUAAAAUGAAAUUGCUGUGGAGCCAGCCCAUUUUGAGUGAGCCACCAGGAUCCACUCGAUCUGACCCACGAAGAGAAAAAGACCCGCUGUGAAAACAAGAGUGCCGAACGAGCCCAACAAAGGGAGGAAAUUUUUUGAUGCCGCAUGGCUUCGAACACAGGCAAGGUCAGUUUGGCAGUUGCUAUCCACCACUGCGCUAUUCAAGUGUAUUUUCCUAACUCAACACUCAUACUAUUUUUGAGCAAAUAACUGCAGCCCCUUCCUGUGUGAUGGUUCCUGUUCCCGCGCACCUUCCCGAGAUGGUUGCUAUCCCCCCGAGACUCGGCGCUGCCUGAACUUCCUGGCGAUGACGCGAUCGGCGGCAGUUCCCAAGAGGGAUCUUC